CCCUUAGAUGUUUUAGGCCGCACGCGCGCUACACUGACGAUGGCAACGAGUUUUUCCUUCGCCGAAAGGUGUGGGUAAUCUUUUGAAACAUCGUCGUGCUGGGGAUAGAUCAUUGCAAUUUUUGAUCUUGAACGAGGAAUUCCUAGUAAGCGCGAGUCAUCAGCUCGCGUUGAUUACGUCCCUGCCCUUUGUACACACCGCCCGUCGCUACUACCGAUUGAAUGGUUUAGUGAGGACUCCUGAUUGGCGCCGCCGCCCCGGCAACGGAGCAGCGGACUGCCGAAAAGUUGUUCAAACUUGAUCAUUUAGAGGAAGUAAAAGUCGUAACA
Molecule: ribosomal RNA, 329 nt
Filed under: uncultured eukaryote
Lineage: Eukaryota
Description: partial 18S ribosomal RNA
Rfam family: Eukaryotic small subunit ribosomal RNA
Source: RNAcentral